RNAcentral lists this ribosomal RNA (447 nucleotides) under uncultured bacterium. RNAcentral describes it as "partial 16S ribosomal RNA". It matches the Rfam family "Bacterial small subunit ribosomal RNA", at positions 29 to 523 of the family's 1533-position model. The record is from RNAcentral.
AACGAACGCUGGCGGCAGGCUUAACACAUGCAAGUCGAACGCCCCGCAAGGGGAGUGGCAGACGGGUGAGUAACGCGUGGGAAUCUACCCAUCUCUGCGGAAUAGCUCUGGGAAACUGGAAUUAAUACCGCAUACGCCCUACGGGGGGAAGAUUUAUCGGGGAUGGAUGAGCCCGCGUUGGAUUAGCUAGUUGGUGGGGUAGAGGCCUACCAAGGCGACGAUACAUAGCUGGUCUGAGAGGAUGAUCAGCCACAUUGGGACUGAGACACGGCCCAAACUCCUACCGGAGGCAGCAGUGGGGAAUAUUGGACAAUGGGCGAAAGCCUGUUCCAGCCAUGCCGCGUGAGUGAUGAAGGCCUUAGGGUUGUAAAGCUCUUUCACCGAUGAAGAUAAUGACGGUAGUCGGAGAAGAAGCCCCGGCUAACUUCGUGCCAGCCGCCGCAGUAA